AUUGAACGCUGGCGGCAGGCCUAACACAUGCAAGUCGAACGGUAACAGGAAGCAGCUUGCUGCUUCGCUGACGAGUGGCGGACGGGUGAGUAAUGUCUGGGAAGCUGCCUGAUGGAGGGGGAUAACUACUGGAAACGGUAGCUAAUACCGCAUAAUGUCGCAAGACCAAAGAGGGGGACCUUCGGGCCUCUUGCCAUCGGAUGUUCCCAGGUGGGCUUCGCUUGUUGGGGGGGUAACGGCUCACCCAGGCGACCAUCCCUCGCUGGUCGGCGAGGCUGGCCAGCCACACUGGAGCUGAGACACGGGCCAGGCUCCUGAGGGAGGCAGCAGUGGGGAAUGGGGCACAGUGGGGGGAAGCCUGGUGCAGCGAGGCGGCGUGUAUGAAGAAGGCCUUCGGGUUGUAAAGUACGUUCAGCGGGGAGGAAGGGAGUAAAGUUAAUACCUUGGCUCAUUGACGGUACCCGCAGAAGAAGCACCGGCUAACUCCGUG
This 490-nucleotide ribosomal RNA is filed under the name uncultured bacterium. RNAcentral describes it as "partial 16S ribosomal RNA". It matches the Rfam family "Bacterial small subunit ribosomal RNA", at positions 28 to 507 of the family's 1533-position model. The record is from RNAcentral.